This 1873-nucleotide long non-coding RNA is filed under the name Canis lupus dingo (dingo). RNAcentral's name for it is "lncRNA (ENSCAFG00020008601.1)". Lineage: Eukaryota; Metazoa; Chordata; Mammalia; Carnivora; Canidae. The record is from RNAcentral.
AGGGGGCGCGGCGUGGGGGGGGCUGUGCGGCCUGGCGCGGAGCAGAUCGGCGGGGUCGGAGAGGGGACGUUCCCCCGGAGGUCGGAGGUCAGCGCGGGCCGCCGCUCCGAGUCCCCGCCCGAAGCCGCCCCCGCGACUUGGCCUGCGUCCCCGCGGUCCCCGAGGGCGGCUCGGAUUAUUGGGCCAAACCCGCCCGGAGGCGACGGACCAGCUGCCCAGAGCUUCGCCGCAGGCCCUGGGGUGGCCGAGUGGGAACUCCUGCGGCUGCGAGCUGUGGCCCCCGCGCCCGGGUCACCCUAGGCAGCGGCACCCAGUUCCCUACCGCGCCCUCCUCAGGCAGAGGCGCCUGGGCGCAGGUGCAGGGGUGCGGCAGGAGGGCUGGUCAGCUACCAGGAGACCAGAUUGAAAGUCGAUGCGCCGGGCCCAAGCGUCUCCCUGCUGCUCGUUUACCAACCCAGAGACCACCACCGACGCUGGGACUGCCCAGGACAGGCUUCCUGCCCUCCCCCAGGCCCCCUCCGCCCCCCUGACGUGCCCCUGCCCCUGCACUUUCACCCUCACGCACCCCUGCCCCCCCCACCAGUGCCUGGGUUGUGGGUUCAGUUCGCACUUGGGCCUGGGUGGCCUGUUGGUCCCACUGCGGGUCUAGGGCAGGAGCCUGCCCCUGGGGCUCAGGGGCUGCCCAGGGAUCCUGCAGCCUUGCCUCUGAAACAUGUGUGCACCCCUGUGGGGGCAUCUCAGGGCCUAAGAGGGGGUUAACCCACACUACCUGUCACCUGCAGGUGACUCCGAGGCCCUGCCCCACAUCACAGAACCUGAUAUUCUGCUUAUGGGAAAGUGGCAUUGGGGGUGUCAUUGUCUAAGGUAAACAGCCCAGGGUUGGUGGGGGGGUGUGCACCUGAUGGCAGAGGUGCGUCCUCCGGGAGUGGCCUCUGUUCUGGCGUCCUGUCCUGUGGUUGGCUUCCCUUUGCUCUGUCGCCUGCCAGGGAACGCCCUCAGCUGCUGGUCUGUGGUGGCCGCCCCUCGGAGGUCCUGCCCUCCACUGGGGGUCCCCGCUGUGCAGUUGGGGACUCCGAGGGAGGGCCCAAGUGGGGGUUGCCUGAGGGCCCCCAUCGAUCUUACUGGCCCAUGGGGACCUGUGCAAGUGCAAGCAGGGGGAGGGUUGAGGUUGGCAGACCUGGCCCAAACUGUCCUCCCCCACCCACCAGAAAACAGGUCCCACCCCUCCCUGCACCCAGCAGGCCGUCGUGCGCCAGGUCUGGGUUUUCACGAGGAGCUCUGCUUUGCGAAGCUGCACUGGGACGUCAGGGCAGCAUCCGGGCACAGCUCACUAGCCCAGGGCAGGCAGCGGACACGUGGGGUGGCACCUAGAAGUGCCCCAAAGCCUCCUGGGCUUCUGGAAGCCCUGUGUCCUGGCCCGUGUGCCAUCCAGCCUCAUCCUCCACUAGUGGCGAGCCCGGUUCACGUCCUCAGCUGCCGGGCAGGCCCUGAGUGUGUACCAGGGUGUAGCCUUCAGAGGAAAGGGUGGCUGCGGUUGGUUCCUGUGUCCACCAGUAUUGACAAAGCAUCUGUGCCAGGGGUUUCAGUGGGCAAACACCAAGGAGCUGAGGCACUCACCAUGGCGGGAGGGUGGGGGUGGGGGUGGUGUCCAGGAAGGGGGUUUUGAGGAGACCUGAAGCUUCCAGCUGCUUGAAGAAAGAGGAAAGGCCAUUCCCUCAACUGAGGGAGUAGGGAGGUGCUCAACCUGUGCAAAGGCCCUGAGGCAGCAGCGAGCACAGGUUAUCUGAGAGUGACACUACUGUGAUUUAAAACUUGAGGGACAAAAAAAACUAAAAAAAUAAUAAAUAAAUAAAUAAAUAAAACUUGAUGGACA